Leptonychotes weddellii (Weddell seal) is the source of this 601-nucleotide non-coding RNA. The record is from RefSeq and is a predicted model, not a curated record. NCBI's taxonomy places the organism in Eukaryota, Metazoa, Chordata, Mammalia, Carnivora, Phocidae.
GGAGAGAGAGGAGGAAGUGCAGAUAUGGAGAUGACAUGGGAUGACCAAGGAAGUAAGAACCUAGAAAGGUGGGAAGUGAUUGACCCCUCUUCAAGUUCUCCUUGGUGUGGAGGAAAGAAUUUCUUUUCUGAGAGAGGAAAGCAGUGUCUUUACGGCUUUCAGAUGAUUCUUUUGAGAUUUCAAAUAAAACACCUAGACAACCUAAAAGAGAAGUGAAAAAGAAAGAUGCAGUGCCAUGGUGGAUAACUGAAGAUGAUUUUGAAGAUGGUGGACUGCUUGGAACAAAUGUAAGCUAUCUGAAAGCAAAGAGGCCUUCUCAGCCUAUUACGGAAAUACAAGAGGAGUCUGCUGAAAGGAUUCAGUUUCUUCAGAGCAGUGGAACCUCUAUCUUAAGUAUUGACAGCUUAGAAACAAAUGAGAUAGUAGUUUCUGAACUCAAUCAUAGUGUUCUUGGAUUGGGAUUGGACACAUUAGAAGAACAAGAAGAAAAAGAGCAAUUUUUUGCCAGGCUUGAGGAAGGCUUAACAUCUUCCAUUGAUUAUUCAAGAUUAAAUAAGGAACUGGAUUCUAAUGACUCCACACAAUUUAAAGGUUUACAUAG